AACCUAUCAUAGGCACUAAAGAGGAAAAGCCUUUGAAGCAGGCAUGAGUACAUGCAAUGUUAUAAUUCAUAUGAAUAUGAGGUACAAAAGAAGAGGUGUUGAUGUUUUAAAAACAUUAAUGGCUAUUUAUUGAUAUUGCAGACCACCUAGAGAAUGCUAAAUUGAACAUUUAGUGACAGAAGAUUUUCUCCUGGAUACUUUAAAUACAUAAAAACUUGGCAGAGUUUUUAUGAAAUAUAAAUUUUAUUGUAUUCAUUUACAUAUUAAAAAAUAGACUCAGAGGCGGAAAAACUUCCUUGAAAUUGUUUGUCAUUUGUUCUACAGUUACUUACUGAAGUCAUUACUAUUUACCAAGCAUCAUGCUAGGUGCUAGGCUUACAAGAGUGAACAAGGAGACAGGGUUCCUGUCAUUAUAGAGCUGAAUCUACUGGGGAAGAUUGAGUGGGAAAGAUUGACUUAAAUAAAACAGUAAGUUCAGAAAGUUAGGAAGUGUUGGAGUCUAUAUUUAAACUUGGGUAUUUUGACCCAAAAGCCUGUACUGUUUCUAACAUACCAUGCUGAUGCUCUAGCCUCCAUUUUAUAUGCUUAAACUUAUUAUGGGGCUUUUAAAUAGAAUAUGUAUUAUCCUUGCCAGGGCAAAAUAUAAAGAAAUAAUUGACUGCCUGCUAUAUCUGUCUUCACCUUUCUAUCCCUAUUAUCUGUUUUUUUAUUCCUCUUUUUUGUCUCCCUUGUUUCUUACCCUGACUUAUGUAUGAAGAUCUCUAGUAUUUCUUUACUAUUGUGAGGAUGACCAGCGGAGAGGCUAGACAGCAACAAGCAGAAUUGGCCCAACAGGAAUGGCUUCAAAUGCAGCAAGCUGCCCAACAAGCCCAGCUUGCUGCUGCCUCAGCCAGUGCAUCUAAUCAGGCGGGAUCUUCUCAGGAUGAAGAAGAUGAUGAUGAUAUCUGAAAUUCACCAGCUGAGUUUCUAUUUCUUCUAUAAAUGUUUUUCCCUGCACAACAAAAACAGUGAAAGAAAUGCUUAUCUGUAAUUUUGUAUGCAUCUUGGUGGACUUGUCAUUGGUAUUCUAGGGAUGUCUGCUAUUAAGUUUCAUCUAUUGUGUGCUAUACAUGUAAAAACUGUCUCUUUGAACUAUUGAAAAUUUAAGGUUCAGUAUAAUAUCAAUUUUGAAUUUUUAAUGGUGUUUAUGAAAUUUUAGAUAGCAGCGAGUCCUUCAUUUGAUCAAUAAACAGUGUUACAGAUAA
This 1244-nucleotide small RNA is filed under the name Pan troglodytes (chimpanzee). Its description in RNAcentral is "processed transcript". The record is from RNAcentral. Lineage: Eukaryota; Metazoa; Chordata; Mammalia; Primates; Hominidae.